Molecule: ribosomal RNA, 301 nt
Filed under: uncultured bacterium
Lineage: Bacteria
Description: partial 16S ribosomal RNA
Rfam family: Bacterial small subunit ribosomal RNA
Source: RNAcentral
CAGUCGCCGCGGUAAAACGUAGGUGGCAAGCGUUGUCCGGAAUUAUUGGGCGUAAAGGGCUCGCAGGCGGAUUCUUAAGUCUGAUGUGAAAGCCCCCGGCUCAACCGGGGAGGGUCAUUAGAAACUGGGAAACUUGAGUGUAGAAGAGGAGAGUGGAAUUCCACGUGUAGCGGUGAAAUGCGUAGAGAUGUGGAGGAACACCAGUGGCGAAGGCGACUCUCUGGUCUGUAACUGACGCUGAGGAGCGAAAGCGUGGGGAGCGAACAGGAUUAGAUACCCCUGUAGUCCCUGUCUCUUAUAC